UCAAAAUAUCAAACCGCCAUGGCUGCUGCUACCCUCUCGCAAUGCAGUUUCUCUCCCGCCAUAACUUGUCUGAAAUCAAAUCCCAAACUCAAACCCAUUAAUUCACUUCUCUGCCCUGACAUUUUACAAACCCAUUUGUUUCUCCAACACAAAUGCCAGGUUGAGAAUUUCUCAAACAAAAGCAGCAUUACCUAAACUGUCGCAUUGGUUAGUUGUGGUUUCUGGGUUAGUGGAUGGCAAUUCUGAGACAUACCCAGAAGCAGGAUCAAGUGAUUUGAAUGAGGAGGGUGCAGCCAUUGACAUAAAACUGCCAUGGAGGAGUUUGCUUGUGCAAUUUACUUGUAAUGAAUGUGGCGAGAGGUCUCAGAGGCCCAUUAAUCGUUUAGCCUAUGAACAGGGGCUUGUUUUUGUGCAGGUACUCAUUUGUUCUAAUGGGCUGUUAGAAUGACAAUUUUUUGCUAUAUGUUUCUUACCAGUAAGCAUUUAUCCUGUUAUAUUAAAGGCCAGCAAUGCACUGUCCUUUUGACUUAAAAAGGAAAAGGAAAAGGAAAAAAGAGUAUUCAGAAUUGAUUUUUCUUGGGAAAGUAUAGUCUAAAACUUCCAAUAACAAGCCUUUAAUGUUUUAUGUUCAAACUGAAUGCUCCCUAAAGAAAUGAUACGAGUUAAUAUAGAAAUAUAGAGGACUUCAAAAGUAAUAUGAAGUACUAGAAGAAAAUAAAAGCCCAUCACUUUUCCACAAGGAAAUGUUGUCAAUGUUAUUAAUGGUCAACAUGUUUUCAAAAUUUUCUUAAUAAAAAUUAACUUAAAUAUCCAUAAGAUGUUUCUCAAUAACUGUUGGAAUAAUUGGAGCAUAUGUGCUUGCCAGGCAACUUAUUAAGUAUUUUGCAUGGGGUUGUUUCCCAAAUAACUAUAUUUAUUUGUUCAUGGGAUUGAACAUGGUUGAUUCACAAGUUCCUUUCUGCCUAGGGAAUUUUUCAGGAGUGCUAUUUUCUUCUUACUCGCUUUUGGGGAAGUUUGAAGAACCUUAAUUUGCCCUAGAACAUGAUAGAUACUCUUCAGGGAAGAACAGUUUCUGAUGCAAAACUGUGCAACUGAAAUUGAUUGCUUUUGUGUUUUUAUGUUGAAGAGUUACAACAGUUUUGUCUAUGGAAAUUUUUGUAUGCUCCUCGUAUUGUUACUGUUUUCAUGUUUUUAGAACUAUGAAGUAAAUUUCUAUUAUGUUUUCUUCUCUUGGAUAGUUUUGUUCAUGGUUAUAAGGCCAUUCAUCUUUAUUGUGUACUCCAAUGAACUUAAAAAAUCCAAAAAUGUUGACAAUUUCUUGGCUUGCCUUUAUAAUACCUGUAAUCUGAAUUUCACACCGAUCUUGUUUGUACAUAUAAAGUAAUCUCUUUUCAUCAUAAAUAUAAUUUCAUGGCUUGGUAACAUUUCUAGAAACUGUAGCCUGUAACUACCAGCAAAUAGGCAAUAGCUAAAACAGUCCUUGCUAACAUUCCAGCCCUUCCUUCAUGGUGAUACAAUGAAUUUCCUCCAUUCUGCAGGUCAGAAAAGGCAGGGUACAUAAUUUAGAACAAUUUGAGACAAAUUUCUAUCAUUUCUGGAAUGGAAAUAUUAGCGAAUUCAGUUAGUGGUUUAGAAUGAAAAAAAAAAUUUAAUUGUUUGAAAACAUACUGGAUUUGGGGAUGGUGCAGGAGCUGUGUCCUCAGAUACUGUUGUCACUGUAGGUGGGGCUGGGGGGCUGGGGGGAUUUGGUGCUU
Molecule: long non-coding RNA, 1754 nt
Organism: Populus nigra (black poplar)
Lineage: Eukaryota; Viridiplantae; Streptophyta; Magnoliopsida; Malpighiales; Salicaceae
Exons: 3
Source: RefSeq, a predicted model, not a curated record